RNAcentral lists this ribosomal RNA (561 nucleotides) under uncultured Alphaproteobacteria bacterium. RNAcentral describes it as "bacterial SSU rRNA". It matches the Rfam family "Bacterial small subunit ribosomal RNA", at positions 75 to 677 of the family's 1533-position model. Lineage: Bacteria; Pseudomonadati; Pseudomonadota; Alphaproteobacteria. The record is from RNAcentral.
GAUCUUCGGAUCUAGUGGCGCACGGGUGAGUAACGCGUGGGAACCUACCUUUUAGUACGGGACAACGUUUGGAAACGAACGCUAAUACCGUAUACGCCCUCCGGGGGAAAGGUCAGCCGCUAAAAGAGGGGCCCGCGUCUGAUUAGCUUGUUGGUAAGGUAAUGGCUUACCAAGGCUACGAUCAGUAGCUGGUCUGAGAGGAUGAUCAGCCACACUGGGACUGAGACACGGCCCAGACUCCUACGGGAGGCAGCAGCGGGGAAUAUUGGACAAUGGAGGCAACUCUGAUCCAGCAAUGCCGCGUGUGUGAUGAAGGCCUUAGGGUUGUAAAGCACUUUCAACGGUGAAGAUGAUGACGGUAGCCGUAGAAGAAGCCCCGGCUAGCUUCGUGCCAGCAGCCGCGGUAAUACGAAGGGGGCGAGCGUUAUUCGGAAUUAUUGGGCGUAAAGGGCUCGCAGGCUGCUUGAACAGUUAGACGUGAAAUCCCCGGGCUCAACCUGGGAACUGCGUUUAAUACUAGCAAGCUAGAGAAAUAGAGAGGAAAGUGGAACUCCCAGUGUA